This 253-nucleotide ribosomal RNA is filed under the name uncultured bacterium. RNAcentral describes it as "partial 16S ribosomal RNA". It matches the Rfam family "Bacterial small subunit ribosomal RNA", at positions 524 to 776 of the family's 1533-position model. The record is from RNAcentral.
UACGUAGGGUGCGAGCGUUGCUCGGAAUUACUGGGCGUAAAGGGCGCGUAGGCGGAUAUCUAAGUUGGGGGUGAAAUCCCGGGGCUCAACCUCGGAAUUGCCUUCAAAACUGGAUAUCUUGAGUUCGGGAGAGGUGAGUGGAACUCCGAGUGUAGAGGUGAAAUUCGUAGAUAUUCGGAAGAACACCGGUGGCGAAGGCGACUCACUGGCCCGAUACUGACGCUGAGGCGCGAAAGCGUGGGGAGCAAACAGG